This is a non-coding RNA of Dentipellis sp. KUC8613, 83 nucleotides long. NCBI's taxonomy places the organism in Eukaryota, Fungi, Basidiomycota, Agaricomycetes, Russulales, Hericiaceae. The record is from the annotation of a GenBank genome assembly.
GGCCGACUGGCGCAAAGGUAGCGCGUUAGUUUCCGGCAAGUCCUGAUAGCUAGAGGUUCUGGGUUCGAUCCCCAGGUUGGUCG